Long non-coding RNA from Anser brachyrhynchus (Pink-footed goose), 1363 nucleotides. Lineage: Eukaryota; Metazoa; Chordata; Aves; Anseriformes; Anatidae. The record is from Ensembl.
AAAAAUAUGUGGCAAUGUACAGUGCCAGGAUGAUAGCUAGUGUUUGGCAUAAUGCUUAUGACAGUAUGUUUCAAUCAUACGCAGACUUAAGUCUCUUCAGAUCUCACCAUUGAACUGGAUAAGCCUAAAUGAGGUCUGCAUGUUUUUUGCCUUUUCUGUCAUAGAGCAAACUAAAUGAUAAAUAGCGCACAAGAGCAAAGUGAUUGAUAGCAUGGCACUGAAAAUAUCUUUUGCAAAUGUGGAUGCUGAUGGGACUUUUUCUCUUUGCUGUUUUUUCUUACACCUUGUUUUAGGACUGAUCAAGUGCCUGACUCAGAUUGCCAUUUGGAACAUAAGCAAGCAGUGUCCAGAUUUCACCAUGAAGACAGACUUUUCAAGAAGAGCUGGAUAUGGUGUUGGAAGAGACAGAUUUCAGAAUUGAAUCAGCUCGCACUGGAUGUAGCUCUUCACUGUGUCUCUGAAGUCAUCCAGGGAAAAUAGGAAGACAUACUAACAUAAAGAAAAAAAACAAACAGAUUUUUGUCAUGUGGUUUUAGCCAUCUGUUUGGUGCCUCUCCCUUUGUAGUCAGGGGAAGCGGUGAGUCAUGCCAUCCUAAAAUUGGCGCUCUGAAUAGGCAGAAUGAGUUUGCCUCUGGAAUGAUGGACAGCAUAAAAAGGUGGAGUGGAGGUCUUAGAAUAGAUGCCUGACUUUUUGACUGAUUCAGGUAUCUGAGGUGAUGCCCACUUUGAAUGUUUUUAGGUUCAGACUCUCAGUUACACUUUCACUUUGUUGUUUUUAUAAGAAAGAUGUUAAUCUUGAUGAAAUUAUUUGUUUACAUUAUAUCAUCUGAAAAUAAUAUUCUAUCCUAGUUUUUUUCCUCUUUAUUUUCAUAUUUUUCCUUUUCUCUUGGUUUAUACCUAUUCAUUUUUCCAGCUGAAGGAAUAGUGGCAAUAGCAAAUAUAGAUUUACAUGUACUCAAAAUCUACCUAUGUAGGAAUAGAACGUAAAGUAAAUAUUUGGACAUAUUUCAUACAUCAAGAGUACAUAGUUUCAUUCGUGAUGUAAUUCAUAUUGGUUGUAUAUUCAGCUUAGUGGCAUGUAUUCAACCUUGAAAUGUAGACAUCUCUGUUGUGUUCAAAACUUUAUUGCAAGCCUUAACUGAUUUUGUAGUUACAUUCAUACUAUUACAUUUACAUUAUCAAUUGCUGGCUGGUAUGAAGUGUUUCUUCAAGUGAUUAGAAGUUCAUAUACUGAUUCCAUUGUCAAGAAUGAGUGAUUCUUAUUCCAAGAGAAGACAAAAAAAAAGUGUCUACAGUACCACCUUGAUCCAUAAGCAGGAUUGUGUCUAAUAAAGUUGAUAGUAUAUGGUUCCUGUUACUUGAA